This 90-nucleotide transfer RNA is filed under the name Xenopus tropicalis (tropical clawed frog). RNAcentral describes it as "Xenopus (Silurana) tropicalis (western clawed frog) tRNA". It matches the Rfam family "tRNA". Rfam says of the family: Transfer RNA (tRNA) molecules are approximately 80 nucleotides in length. Their secondary structure includes four short double-helical elements and three loops (D, anti-codon, and T loops). Lineage: Eukaryota; Metazoa; Chordata; Amphibia; Anura; Pipidae. The record is from Rfam by way of RNAcentral.
AGCUCUGUAGCACAAUGGAUAGUGCGUUGGACUUCUAGUUAGGUAGUCUGAGGUAUUCAAAGGCUCUGGUUUUGAGUCCCACCAGAGUCA